RNAcentral lists this unclassified non-coding RNA (611 nucleotides) under Gymnoascoideus boliviensis. RNAcentral describes it as "Gymnoascus boliviensis sequence contains 18S rRNA gene, ITS1, 5.8S rRNA gene, ITS2, 28S rRNA gene". The stretch from base 236 to 389 matches the Rfam family "5.8S ribosomal RNA". The record is from RNAcentral. Lineage: Eukaryota; Fungi; Ascomycota; Eurotiomycetes; Onygenales; Gymnoascaceae.
UCGUAACAAGGUUUCCGUAGGUGAACCUGCGGAAGGAUCAUUACAGUGCCGCCGGGGCGCGCCCCCUAAACCCGGGCGCGUCCCGCAACCUGGCCACACUUGUCUACCGAACCGCGUUGCUUCGGCGGGACCGUGCUCCCCUGCACCGCCCACACUCCGGGCGAGCGCCCGCCGGAGGACUCUCUCGAACCCUUUGCUGAUCAGUGACAGUCUGAGUGAAUCUUUAAUCAGUUAAAACUUUCAACAACGGAUCUCUUGGUUCCAGCAUCGAUGAAGAACGCAGCGAAAUGCGAUAAGUAAUGUGAAUUGCAGAAUUCCGUGAAUCAUCGAAUCUUUGAACGCACAUUGCGCCCUCUGGUAUUCCGGGGGGCAUGCCUGUCCGAGCGUCAUUGCAACCCUCAAGCCCGGCUUGCGUGAUGGGCGCCCGUCCCCCCCCGGGGGACGCGCCCGAAAGGCAGUGGCGGCGUCGCGGUUAUCCGAUUUGCCUGAGCGUAUGGGGCUUCUGUCAUCACGCAACUGGCUGGGACCGGCGCCGGCCGAACUCUUCAACUCUUUUUUACCAAGGUUGACCUCGGAUCAGGUAGGGAUACCCGCUGAACCUAAGCAUAUCA